UGGGGAAUAUUGCGCAAUGGGCGAAAGCCUGACGCAGCGACGCCGCGUGAGGGAUGAAGGUUUUCGGAUCGUAAACCUCUGUCAGAAGGGAAGAAACCGCACUGUGCUAAUCAGCAGUGCCUUGACGGUACCUUCAAAGGAAGCACCGGCUAACUCCGUGCCAGCAGCCGCGGUAAUACGGAGGGUGCAAGCGUUAAUCGGAAUUACUGGGCGUAAAGCGCACGUAGGCUGCUUUGUAAGUCAGGGGUGAAAUCCCACGGCUCAACCGUGGAACUGCCUUUGAUACUGCUUAGCUUGAAUCCGGGAGAGGAUGGCGGAAUUCCAGGUGUAGGAGUGAAAUCCGUAGAUAUCUGGAGGAACAUCAGUGGCGAAGGCGGCCACCUGGACCGGUAUUGACGCUGAGGUGCGAAAGCGUGGGGAGCAAACAGG
Molecule: ribosomal RNA, 429 nt
Filed under: Fusobacteriota bacterium
Lineage: Bacteria; Fusobacteriati; Fusobacteriota
Description: Fusobacteria bacterium partial 16S ribosomal RNA
Rfam family: Bacterial small subunit ribosomal RNA
Source: RNAcentral